CAGCCGCCGCGGUAAAACCAGCACCUCAAGUGGUCAGGAUGAUUAUUGGGCCUAAAGCAUCCGUAGCCGGCUUUGUUAGUUUUCGGUUAAAUCUGUACGCUUAACGUACAGGCUGCCGGGAAUACUGCAGAGCUAGGGAGUGGGAGAGGUAGACGGUACUCGGUAGGAAGGGGUAAAAUCCUCUGAUCUAUUGAUGACCACCUGUGGCGAAGGCGGUCUACCAGAACACGUCCGACGGUGAGGGAUGAAAGCUGGGGGAGCAAACCGGAUUAGAUACCCGGGUAGUCCCAGCUGUAAACUAUGCAAACUCAGUGAUGCAUUGGCUUGUGGCCAAUGCAGUGCUGCAGGGAAGCCGUUAAGUUUGCCGCCUGGGAAGUACGUACGCAAGUAUGAAACUUAAAGGAAUUGGCGGGGGCGCAC
This 420-nucleotide ribosomal RNA is filed under the name uncultured Nitrososphaerota archaeon. Its description in RNAcentral is "bacterial SSU rRNA". It matches the Rfam family "Archaeal small subunit ribosomal RNA", at positions 459 to 879 of the family's 1478-position model. Lineage: Archaea; Thermoproteati; Nitrososphaerota. The record is from RNAcentral.